AUUGAUUACUGAAGUGCACUUGGUUUCAUGCGCGGAUCGGCGCGCAGUGUUGUGGCCCUGAGUCACCUCAAACCUCAGACUAACAGCAGCCUUCGUUUCCUCCUCCUCCUCCUACACUGACCCGGUGAGCGUGCGCACACGGCUGCAGUCUGUGCCAGGCAGUACUCAGGUGAUGGACAGUGGCACGACUCUCCUGAGGGCUCCACUGUUCUAAUUGCAGAUGGAGCAGUUGUUUUUAUACUGCAGGACUGGCGUUCUUGUGGAUUGCGGUGGGAUUCGGUGUUUCAGACGGCCUUUCGUUCUCCUCAAGGAGCCUUAAUCACAAACUUCAAGGACUCACUCUGCAUCAGUUAAUUCAUACUGAAAUCAGUGCAAAGCACUUGGGCUCCCUGAAUGGCUGAGGCCAUCGUUGGAGCGAGCAAGGAAAAAAUAAUACCAGAGAUGUCUAAAAGCAGAGGCUAAAAGCGGCCUGAGCUAGCGGCCUGCUAAAAAAACAAAGCACUGCCCAGGGGAAGAGCAAAGGGUCGGGCAGCGUGGUCCAAACUUGCCACAGCCGCGUCUCUCUGCGUCCACUCACUCCCUUUCUCACCUAUAUGUAGACGAAGGCUCACAGCAGAGCAGUAUAGCAGAUCUGACCACAGACUCACAGUGCAUCUGGAGCCUGGUUAAGGAUUAGAAGAGCACUGGGCAGGACAGGAAUACACAUGGAUGGGAUGCCAGUCCAUCGCUGGACAUCAAGCACUCAAACAAACACACACACCAAUUUACACAUUCAUUCACACCUAGGGGCAAUUUAGAGUCAGCCAUCCACAUACUGGCAUGUUUGGGAAGUGGGAGGAAACUAAAGAAGAAGAAAUCAACACGGACACAGGAAGAAAAUGUAAAACUCUGCACUUUGAGUAACUGGAUCAAACUGGGAAUGCUGGGGUGGUGAGGUGGCAAUGCUGUCAGCUGUACUGCUACUGAUACCUUACUAUUUUAUAUACCCUGAAAUAGAAUUGAAAUAGAAUAGAAAUAGUGUUAAAUAUAAAUCAAAUCAUUCUUAGUCCUGUUCAGGGUCGCAGUGGAUAUGAAAUUUGGGAACACACAAUGGAUAAGGUGCCAGUCCCUUGCAGUGAGGAGAACUUUUUUUUUUUUUUUUUUUACCAGUGUGGAAAUUUAGAGUCACCAAUCUGCGCCCCAAGUACUAGAGCUCAGGAUCAAACCCUUUACCUUGAAACACUAUCUGUUUUGUCGCCAUGCUGCAUGUACUUUAAUUUAAUUCAUUUUAUUAUAUAUACUACAUCUACAUAUUCAUAUACAUAUGACCAUAAUAAUAAAAUGCUUUUGGCUAUUACAGAUGCUUACCGGUGUAAACACUAAUAAAUCAGAAAAGUAAUGGAAGUAUAAGAAAUUAUAGUUAUGACAAAACACAUACAGUUUGAAAAGAAUAUAAAGUUGCUCUAGAAUGGAAAAGCAUCUACUAACAUCUUCCUGCUACUUUUGAGUGGGGAUUUUUCCUCAUUAGUCUAUAGUAUAGACAUAUUAAAUAUUAAAUAAUUGGUACAUUCCGACUGAAAAAGCAGUCAUUCAAAUAGGUUCACCAAAAUCUAGCUCUCUUAAUAACAUGAUCUAAUGAGAUAAAUGUAAAAAUGAAUAUUGUCAGUUAAUUCAGUUGCUAUAAACAGACCUACAACUGAUUCAUGGACCUUGUUACUCCGGCCUUGUUUGAAGAUCAAAGCUAAGAGGUAAUGAUAUUAUAGUUGCUCUUUUCCAAGAAGACCAAAGUCUAUGCCAGUCUUCUCAGAACUUUAACCUACAACCAUCACACUGUCAUAAUCUUUGCAUUCUGCACCACAAACACUUUAUUUAACAGCUUUCUAGACCUCUUCAUAUCAUUGCCUGAAUAAGAGCUAACACUACUGCAAUAGUGAUUCAAUAUAACAAUUUUUGUAUGCAUAUCCUAAAUGAACGUGUGAGAGCAAUUUGCUGGCUGUCUGUAAUAUAAAUUAGCCUGAAAACCUGGAUUUUUCCUUUAUAAACUUUAUAAAACCAUCUUAAGUCUAAAAAGUAGACCUACUGGAGGUAACUCACCAUUAUGGAAGGGUGUAUAAUGAAUUAAUGGGGAUUAAGUACAAACAGUUAAACUGCUAAAUAAGAAUAGUAUUUAAAAAAGGUACCCUAUGAUUUGUUGUUAUGCAAAUGUGACAAUAGGCAGUCAUCAUAUUAAAGGAAAAGCUUAAACU
Tachysurus vachellii is the source of this 2225-nucleotide long non-coding RNA. RefSeq lists it as uncharacterized. The record is from RefSeq and is a predicted model, not a curated record. The transcript has 7 exons. NCBI's taxonomy places the organism in Eukaryota, Metazoa, Chordata, Actinopteri, Siluriformes, Bagridae.